AACCCAUUUGUUUUUUUUUUGUUUUUUCUUAAAAAAAACCUCAUGCUCUCCAAUCUCUCAUUCUCCCCUUGCUUCCUCGCCGAAAUACUAGCACCCCGGCCCUCCACUCGCGUCCAGCAAAGCCUCCGACAGUGACUCCGUCGCAGGUAUAACGGACGUGGGUCGUGCUUGGUGGUGGAGAACGUGGGCAAUAGAAGCAUGGAGGCAGUUGGAGGCUAGGGUCUUGGCUGAAGACGUUUUGGGGUUUGUGGGUUAGGGUUAAGUAUUUGGGCUUCAAAAUUGGAUCUGUUUUCAUUUUGUUUUUAAUUUAAUUUUGGUUCUAUUUUUGA
Molecule: long non-coding RNA, 329 nt
Organism: Gossypium arboreum
Lineage: Eukaryota; Viridiplantae; Streptophyta; Magnoliopsida; Malvales; Malvaceae
Exons: 2
Source: RefSeq, a predicted model, not a curated record